GAUGAACGCUGGCGGCGUGCCUAAUACAUGCAAGUCGAGCGAACAGACGAGGAGCUUGCUCCUCUGACGUUAGCGGCGGACGGGUGAGUAACACGUGGAUAACCUACCUAUAAGACUGGGAUAACUUCGGGAAACCGGAGCUAAUACCGGAUAAUAUAUUGAACCGCAUGGUUCAAUAGUGAAAGACGGUUUUGCUGUCACUUAUAGAUGGAUCCGCGCCGCAUUAGCUAGUUGGUAAGGUAACGGCUUACCAAGGCAACGAUGCGUAGCCGACCUGAGAGGGUGAUCGGCCACACUGGAACUGAGACACGGUCCAGACUCCUACGGGAGGCAGCAGUAGGGAAUCUUCCGCAAAGGGCGAAAUCCUGACGGAGCAACGCCGCGUGAGUGAUGAAGGUCUUCGGAUCGUAAAACUCUGUUAUUAGGGAAGAACAAAUGUGUAAGUAACUAUGCACGUCUUGACGGUACCUAAUCAGAAAGCCACGGCUAACUACGUG
RNAcentral lists this ribosomal RNA (497 nucleotides) under uncultured bacterium. RNAcentral describes it as "partial 16S ribosomal RNA". It matches the Rfam family "Bacterial small subunit ribosomal RNA", at positions 28 to 507 of the family's 1533-position model. The record is from RNAcentral.